Molecule: ribosomal RNA, 577 nt
Filed under: Lactiplantibacillus plantarum
Lineage: Bacteria; Bacillati; Bacillota; Bacilli; Lactobacillales; Lactobacillaceae
Description: bacterial SSU rRNA
Rfam family: Bacterial small subunit ribosomal RNA
Source: RNAcentral
AGUAACACGUGGGAAACCUGCCCAGAAGCGGGGGAUAACACCUGGAAACAGAUGCUAAUACCGCAUAACAACUUGGACCGCAUGGUCCGAGUUUGAAAGAUGGCUUCGGCUAUCACUUUUGGAUGGUCCCGCGGCGUAUUAGCUAGAUGGUGAGGUAACGGCUCACCAUGGCAAUGAUACGUAGCCGACCUGAGAGGGUAAUCGGCCACAUUGGGACUGAGACACGGCCCAAACUCCUACGGGAGGCAGCAGUAGGGAAUCUUCCACAAUGGACGAAAGUCUGAUGGAGCAACGCCGCGUGAGUGAAGAAGGGUUUCGGCUCGUAAAACUCUGUUGUUAAAGAAGAACAUAUCUGAGAGUAACUGUUCAGGUAUUGACGGUAUUUAACCAGAAAGCCACGGCUAACUACGUGCCAGCAGCCGCGGUAAUACGUAGGUGGCAAGCGUUGUCCGGAUUUAUUGGGCGUAAAGCGAGCGCAGGCGGUUUUUUAAGUCUGAUGUGAAAGCCUUCGGCUCAACCGAAGAAGUGCAUCGGAAACUGGGAAACUUGAGUGCAGAAGAGGACAGUGGAACUCCUG